RNAcentral lists this ribosomal RNA (291 nucleotides) under uncultured bacterium. RNAcentral describes it as "partial 16S ribosomal RNA". It matches the Rfam family "Bacterial small subunit ribosomal RNA", at positions 392 to 697 of the family's 1533-position model. The record is from RNAcentral.
CAACGCCGCGUGAGGGAUGAAGGCCUCUGGGCUGUAAACCUCUUUUAUCAAGGAAGAAGAACUGACGGUACUUGAUGAAUAAGCCACGGCUAAUUCCGUGCCAGCAGCCGCGGUAAUACGGGAGUGGCAAGCGUUAUCCGGAAUUAUUGGGCGUAAAGCGUCCGCAGGCGGUUUUACAAGUCUGUCGUUAAAGCUGUGGAGCUCAACUCCAUUUCAGCGAUGGAAACUGUAAGACUNGAGUGUGGUAGGGGCAGAGGGAAUUCCCGGUGUAGCGGUGAAAUGCGUAGAUAU